RNAcentral lists this ribosomal RNA (271 nucleotides) under uncultured bacterium. RNAcentral's name for it is "partial 16S ribosomal RNA". It matches the Rfam family "Bacterial small subunit ribosomal RNA", at positions 524 to 794 of the family's 1533-position model. The record is from RNAcentral.
UACGUAGGGUCCGAGCGUUGUCCGGAAUUACUGGGCGUAAAGAGCUCGUAGGUGGUUUGUCGCGUUGUUCGUGAAAACUCACAGCUUAACUGUGGGCGUGCGGGCGAUACGGGCAGACUUGAGUACUGCAGGGGAGACUGGAAUUCCUGGUGUAGCGGUGGAAUGCGCAGAUAUCAGGAGGAACACCGGUGGCGAAGGCGGGUCUCUGGGCCAACAUCGACGCUGAGGCACGAAAGCGUGGGGAUCAAACAGGAUUAGAAACCCCUGUAGU